AGUGAACGCUGGCGGUAGGCCUAACACAUGCAAGUCGAACGGCAGCACAGUAAGAGCUUGCUCUUACGGGUGGCGAGUGGCGGACGUGUGAGGAAUACAUCGGAAUCUACUUUUUCGUGGGGGAUAACGUAGGGAAACUUACGCUAAUACCGCAUACGACCUACGGGUGAAAUCAUGUGUUCUUCGGACCUUUCGCGUUUGUAUGAGCCGAUGUCGGAUUAGCUAGUUGGCUGGGUAAAGGCCCACCAAGGCGACGAUCUGUAGCUUGUCUGAGAGGAUGAUCAGCCACACUGGAACUGAGACACGGACCAGACACCUACGGGAGGCAGCAGUGGGGAAUAUUGGACAAUGGGCGCAAGCAUGAUCCAGCAAUACCGCGUGGGUGAAGAAGGCCUUCGGGUUGUAAAGCCCUUUUGUUGGGAAAGAAAAGAAGCAGGUUAAUACCCCGAUGUUCUGACGGUACCCAAAGAAUAAGCACCGGCUAACUUCGUG
This 492-nucleotide ribosomal RNA is filed under the name uncultured bacterium. Its description in RNAcentral is "partial 16S ribosomal RNA". It matches the Rfam family "Bacterial small subunit ribosomal RNA", at positions 29 to 507 of the family's 1533-position model. The record is from RNAcentral.